GAUGAACGCUGGCGGCGUGCCUAAUACAUGCAAGUCGAGCGAACAGACGAGGAGCUUGCUCCUCUGACGUUAGCGGCGGACGGGUGAGUAACACGUGGAUAACCUACCUAUAAGACUGGGAUAACUUCGGGAAACCGGAGCUAAUACCGGAUAAUAUAUUGAACCGCAUGGUUCAAUAGUGAAAGACGGUUUUGCUUUCACUUAUAGAUGGAUCCGCGCCGCAUUAGCUAGUUGGUAAGGUAACGGCUUACCAAGGCAACGAUGCGUAGCCGACCUGAGAGGGUGGUCGGCCACACUGGAACUGAGACACGGUCCAGACUCCUACGGGAGGCAGCAGUAGGGAAUCUUCCGCAAUGGGCGAAAGCCUGACGGAGCAACGCCGCGUGAGUGAUGAAGGUCUUCGGAUCGUAAAACUCUGUUAUUAGGGAAGAACAAAUGUGUAAGUAACUAUGCACGUCUUGACGGUACCUAAUCAGAAAGCCACGGCUAACUACGUG
This 497-nucleotide ribosomal RNA is filed under the name uncultured bacterium. RNAcentral describes it as "partial 16S ribosomal RNA". It matches the Rfam family "Bacterial small subunit ribosomal RNA", at positions 28 to 507 of the family's 1533-position model. The record is from RNAcentral.